GUGGGGAAUCUUGGACAAUGGGCGCAAGCCUGAUCCAGCCAUGCCGCGUGAGUGAAGAAGGCCUUAGGGUUGUAAAGCUCUUUUACCAGGGACGAUAAUGACGGUACCUGGAGAAUAAGCCCCGGCAAACUUCGUGCCAGCAGCCGCGGUAAUACGAAGGGGGCUAGCGUUGUUCGGAAUUACUGGGCGUAAAGCGCACGUAGGCGGGUCGUUAAGUCAGGGGUGAAAUCCCGGAGCUCAACUCCGGAACUGCCUUUGAUACUGGCGAUCUAGAGAUCGAGAGAGGUGAGUGGAAUUCCGAGUGUAGAGGUGAAAUUCGUAGAUAUUCGGAAGAACACCAGUGGCGAAGGCGGCUCACUGGCUCGAUACUGACGCUGAGGUGCGAAAGCGUGGGGAGCAAACAGGAUUAGAAACCCCGGUAGUCC
RNAcentral lists this ribosomal RNA (425 nucleotides) under uncultured bacterium. RNAcentral describes it as "bacterial SSU rRNA". It matches the Rfam family "Bacterial small subunit ribosomal RNA", at positions 354 to 796 of the family's 1533-position model. The record is from RNAcentral.